GACUGGGGGCGCGGCGGGGGCGGCUGAGAAUUGGGGUGGGGGCUGUAGGGGCUCUGGGAGGUCCACCCAGCGCACCUGCUGGGAGAGAGCCCCCGGCAGGGCCGCGGAGACGCAGGCUGAGCAGAGAGGGAGCGGUGACGUCGCUGUCGGGGAGCAGCUGGCCUGGUGGCAGGAGAGGGCAGCUGCCAGGAUUGACGGACAGAACAGAGCCCCGAGGAUGUGGCAGGGUGGCCGGUGGCUUGUGCCCUCCGACUGAGGUUUGUGCAGGGCCCAGGAAAGGUUGGGGCCUGGCCUGGUGCACGGUCAGCUCAGGUCACCCCCCAUUGCUCUGUGGAGUCCCAGGUGCCCUGUAGGGCUCAGGCCUGGCUACAGGGACAGGAGACGGCAAGGCUGGAAAGGCCCCCAGGUCGGUGUCACCCUCUGCCAGGACAGAAGGGGGGCAUCACCCCAGGCUCCUUCUCCCAAGUCUGGGGAGGGAGACUUAUGUUAUAGUUCUUGGCCAAAUUUUUUAAAAGUUUCAGAGGCAACUGGGCAGACCAGAUGUUUCAUCCUACCCUGGGGAGAACCGGCCUUUUCCUCCGAAAGAAAUGAGUUCUGACCCUGCCUAAGGGAGGUGGCUACUGCUCACCUUUCUGCUCCUGUGAGCGUGUGUACACAUACACUCACACCCUCGGCAGCCUGAGGCCUGACUGUACUCCGUCCUGGGAGAUAUGGUCUCAACAGGUGAGAACUCCUCCUAGCACUAGUCAUAUCAACUCAGUUAAGUGACGGCAGCGGCUGCUGUGGCCAGGUCUGGACUGCACACUGAGGACACAGGAGUUAGUCAGACUUUGUGUUUGAGAAGGUCACGCUCGAUGAGAAGAAGAAGACAAGGACACGUUGGUGAUGGCCGUGAGAGACUCAAAGCUGGGGAUGUGCGGAGAAGUCAAGGCCACUUCUCCGGGAGGCUGGUGUGUGGGCAGGAGUGGGGAGGAGUGCAGAUCAGGGAAUGUGGUUUCUAGGAAAAGCGGGUGCCUGACUUGGCCGGAGGGGAGGAAGGGUCAGAUUUUUAGAGGAAGGAGGGUGGGUCUGGGCACCAGUGGAGGAAGAUGGAGAGACUUGUGCUUUGGAAACAAGAGACCUUUGGGAGUAUGGGCCCAGGCCAGACCCUCAGCAGCAGCAAGGCCUUGGUGUUCGCACAGCUGAAGUGGUGAUGGUGGCAGUGGCCUACCCUGGGCAGGGUUUGGUAGGUCACUGCCCAGCCCUGUGUCCCUUUAGGGCUCUCUGCAGACAGUCUCAUACGGCAGGGCUUUGAAUGGUACCCCCACCCCCACCCCAGAGGCUACAGGUGGACCCAGGUAGGGAUGCGUCAGUUCCCAGUAUCACUCCCUAUUGAUCAUCAGGUGCCCUAAUGAUGUCAGUGCUUUCCGAAUCUGCCAUAAGGUGAGUGAGACUGAUUGGAGUCCCGAGAGAUGGAGGUGUUCAAAUCUAACCUCCAGGGAGGCCUCCCUCCAGCUCUUGGUUCCUCCAACCCCCAAACCCUCAGGGUGGAGGUGGGAGCAGAGACCAGAGGAAGUACAAGAGGAGCAGAGACUGCUGAAGGCAGAGACGUGGGGCUCAAAAGCCCCAGGUACCAGGUGUCUGACGUUCCCGUCGGUGGCUCAGAGUUCACCUCUGAGUGCAGUGGCCUGGCGCGGACGGAGACCCCAGGAAGCCCUGCAUCGGCCAGCAGAGCCCCCUCCUGCCUGGGGCUCCCAGGAGCAGCAGCUGUCCCCUCCCGGUCCAGCUCCCCCGCUCUGCGGGGUCAAAGGCAGGAAGGAGUGCCUGCAGGGAGCUGUGUCUCUUCCCCACCUCGGUGGGGUCAGCUGGGCCCUGAGGCCUCUUCUGUGGCUGCUGCCUGCUCUGUGACCUGUCUCGAGGGCCAGACCUGAUUGCAGUAACUUUUACAUUCGAAACUGUUCAACUGCAUCCCAUCCCUAGGACAGAAGCACAAUGGUUCUCAGCCUGCCCUGGGGCUAAGGCCCCCAGCUGUGGCCACCCCACCCUGCCCUGCCCACGGCCCUCUGACGGAGCUCCAGAAACUGGAAGGAGGGCGCAGGGCAGGAGGGAAGUCGGUGUGUCCUUCCCCUCUCCAUCCGUCUGUCCUUCUGCACACAGCGAGGGUCAGAGGCUGCGCACAGGAGCGCUCAAGCUGCCGCCUUACGAAACUCAGAGCUCUUCGGGGGGCCAGUGGGCCGCCUGCUGCGGGGCUGGCGUGUAUUUGGUGGUGUGUGUUCUUACGUGUUUGUUGGUUACACGUGUCUUGAAAUGUAGAAUCAUUUUCACGGAAUCAUUGCUUUAUCAAGAAGAGAAAAUGGGCUAGAAGAAGCCCGCUCUUAGGUUUCUGGCCCUGUUACCAUUUAAAAUUGACAUUUAAUUUUUCAAAUUGCUGUUGGUGCCUAAUCACUUAAGUUAUUAAUUUAUUGUUUUCUUUAAAAAAAAAUUGUAACAUGUAUUUAUCCUGUGAGUAGGUCUGGGGUGGGAUGGGAAUGCGUUCACAGGCGUCCUGUUUUUGCGGUGGGGACACAUGGUACAGGCCUGGAGCUUGCAGGGCCCUUGUUACUGGAGUGGCGGAGCUAGAUGACAAUAAAGUCCGUGAGAAGCAAGCAGAGAGGCUGCGGCAUCUGCCUCGUCCGGGGGGUGGGCAGCGGGCUUCACAGGACACCGGUCCUCGGCCAGACAGUCCGCCCCCAUCCCCGGCCACUCCACCUUCCACUCAACAGGAGACGACUGGGGACCUUUCCUGGCUGUAAGAACAAGUGCGAAUCCUCCUCACCUUGGAAUCUGUAUUCUUGGUGUGUGAAAUGGAAGUAAUAGCAACCUCUGCCCGCUCAUCUUUCUUCAAAGGCGCACUGGACCACAAAGAAAGGGUACAGCAGUGUCAGGGGAUACGCGGGCAGUAUCUGCUCCUCACCAGACCGCCCCCACCAGCCCCGGGGACCGUGACCGAUAGCUGAGGCGCUGAGCCAGCCAGCAUCCCUCAGGACAGACGUCGUGAGACACACACAUACUUGCGCACCUCACUUCUAUUGACUAGACUGAACAGCGGACAGGGGCCUCAGGUGGCACCUGGAGAAGACAGUCCAGAGACUUCAAAGGUCAACUCCUACCCCACCAGGACCUCUCUGCGGGCUUCCUUCCUCUCAAAGCAGGAGGGACAGACUCUGCCGAGGAGAAAGCUCUCCCUCCUGCCGCACUGGGGCCAGCCCUGGAGACCCCUCACCACUGGCCGCAGGCCCAGUGUCCCCCACCCAGCUGCCGCUGGCCAGGGUCCAGGUGUGACCACCCCAGCUGUUCACGGCAGCAUGCCUCACGCUGCUCGGAGCCCUGGCUGUUCCAGUUGCUAAGUACUUUGAUGCCACCCUAGACUCUUAGGAGUGGAGUUGGCACAGUGAGAGGGCAACCCUCCCAAAGGCCUCCCCCACCCGCUUGUAUCCACUACUCACAGAGCCCCUCCA
Molecule: long non-coding RNA, 3476 nt
Organism: Budorcas taxicolor (takin)
Lineage: Eukaryota; Metazoa; Chordata; Mammalia; Artiodactyla; Bovidae
Exons: 3
Source: RefSeq, a predicted model, not a curated record